GCGGGAGUGGCCAAAUCUGGUUAAGGCAAUCGGCUGCAACCCGAUGAUGUGAGGGUUCAAAUCCCUCCUCCCGCU
Molecule: transfer RNA, 75 nt
Filed under: Candidatus Woesearchaeota archaeon
Lineage: Archaea; Nanobdellati; Candidatus Woesearchaeota
Description: tRNA-Cys
Rfam family: tRNA
About the family: Transfer RNA (tRNA) molecules are approximately 80 nucleotides in length. Their secondary structure includes four short double-helical elements and three loops (D, anti-codon, and T loops).
Source: RNAcentral